GACGAACGCUGGCGGCGUGCUUAACACAUGCAAGUCGUACGAUGACCCGGCUCUUCGGAGCUGGUGAUUAGUGGCGAACGGGUGAGUAACACGUGGGUGACCUGCCCUGCACUCUGGGAUAAGCCCGGGAAACUGGGUCUAAUACUGGAUACGACCAGUGGCCGCAUGGUCUGCUGGUGGAAAGCCCUUCGGGGUGGUGUGGGAUGGGCCCGCGGCCUAUCAGCUUGUUGGUGGGGUGAUGGCCUACCAAGGCGACGACGGGUAGCCGGCCUGAGAGGGUGGCCGGCCACACUGGGACGGAGACACGGCCCAGAAGCCUACGGGAGGAAGCAGGGGGGAAGCUGGCACAAUGGGCGAAAGCCUGAUGCAGCGACGCCGCGUGAGGGAUGACGGCCGUCGGGUUGUAAACCUCUUUCGGCAGGGAACAAGCCUGGGGGUUUUAUUCUGGGUGAGGGUACCUGCGGAAGAAGCACCGGCUAACUACGUG
RNAcentral lists this ribosomal RNA (487 nucleotides) under uncultured bacterium. Its description in RNAcentral is "partial 16S ribosomal RNA". It matches the Rfam family "Bacterial small subunit ribosomal RNA", at positions 28 to 507 of the family's 1533-position model. The record is from RNAcentral.